CGCGUAUAGAACUUACCUUUUACAGGGGGAUAGCCUUUAGAAAUGAAGAUUAAUAUCCCAUAGUAUUGAGAAUUGGCAUCAGUUUUUAAUUAAAGAUUUAUCGGUAAAAGAUGGCUAUGCGUCCUAUUAGCUAGAUGGUAAGGUAACGGCUUACCAUGGCUACGAUAGGUAGGGGCCCUGAGAGGGGGAUCCCCCACACUGGUACUGAGACACGGACCAGACUCCUACGGGAGGCAGCAGUGAGGAAUAUUGGGCAAUGGAGGAAACUCUGACCCAGCCAUGCCGCGUGCAGGAAGACUG
This 300-nucleotide ribosomal RNA is filed under the name uncultured Polaribacter sp. Its description in RNAcentral is "bacterial SSU rRNA". It matches the Rfam family "Bacterial small subunit ribosomal RNA", at positions 114 to 414 of the family's 1533-position model. The record is from RNAcentral. Lineage: Bacteria; Pseudomonadati; Bacteroidota; Flavobacteriia; Flavobacteriales; Flavobacteriaceae.